Molecule: non-coding RNA, 638 nt
Filed under: Roseisalinus antarcticus
Lineage: Bacteria; Pseudomonadati; Pseudomonadota; Alphaproteobacteria; Rhodobacterales; Roseobacteraceae
Description: Bacterial large subunit ribosomal RNA
Rfam family: Bacterial large subunit ribosomal RNA
Source: Rfam by way of RNAcentral
AAUCAAGCGCGAAAAGGGCGUUUGGUGGAUGCCUUGGCAGUAAGAGGCGAUGAAGGACGUGAUACUCUGCGAUAAGUCCUGGGGAGCUGAGAAUAAGCUUUGAUCCAGGAAUUUCCGAAUGGGGCAACCCACCUGACAGUUGAUUAUAAUUGCCUUCGGGCGGUUUAUAAUCGGCUGAAACAGGUACUUAUUACCUGAAUACAUAGGGUUUUAAGAGCAAACCCGGGGAACUGAAACAUCUAAGUACCCGGAGGAAAGGAAAUCAACAGAUACUCCGCUAGUAGUGGCGAGCGAACGCGGAUCAGCCGAGCCGAAAUUGUGACAAGAACCGGUUGGAAAACCGGGCCAUAGUGGGUGACAGCCCCGUAUUGGAAGCAUGAUCGGACGCAUUAAGUAGGGCGGGACACGUGAAAUCCUGUCUGAACAUCGGAGGACCACCUUCGAAGGCUAAGUACUCCUUACUGACCGAUAGCGAACCAGUACCGUGAGGGAAAGGUGAAAAGCACCCCGACGAGGGGAGUGAAACAGUACCUGAAACCGAACGCCUACAAUCAGUUGGAGGGCCCUUGCGGCCUGACAGCGUACCUUUUGUAUAAUGGGUCAUCGACUUGGUCUCACGAGCAAGCUUAAGCCGUUAG